AGCACAGGAGGCGGGGAAGUGCGGGGAGAAGCUGAGCAGGUCAGGGGAGGGCGAGGACAUCUCCCUGCCCGCGGCUGACGGACGAGCGUCUAUAGGUAGAGUAUACCAAUGAUGUUCCUGAUGCUGGUUUUCAUGGAAAGUCUUGUAGAGUUAUCCUUUCAGAAUGCUCAGGUGGAACUCAUGUAGCAGAGGCUGCAAGUGGCUUCACAGUGCUGUGCUUAACCCCUGCGCCAUCAGAGAGGCCCCAAUCCUUGCUUUUAUGUCAGCUUCAGGGUCUGGCUGCGGUGGACACUGUCAGUGAAAGGCUGGGAGCCCCAGAACCUGCAACAGACCCGCCUGUGCCUCCUGCCCCAGCCCGCCUGCCCCAGCCCACUGUGCCCUGCUGAUUAGCUGGAGUUAUGUUAGGACAAAACCUGGAGCCAGGAGCCUGACCUGUGCCCCCAAGAUGACCAGAUUUCACUGAACAGUGUGAAGGCAAGACAAGUCCACAUUUUGGAUGCAGCUAGACUGUUUAUUCUCACUGCUGUGUCACAGUGCACUAGAUGCUGUUGUUUACAUUUUCUUCUACUCAUGUAAGGGGUAAGGAGAGGAUGUGUCAUUAAUAUUUUCCUUCUGUGGUGGAAUGACAUCAUUGCUAGAAUUGUCCACUUUCAACGUUUAACACUAAUAAUAAGUAAUUUCCAUGUCAUUAAAAACAAUUUAGUGUUAUUGUAUCCAGUUUUUACAUUUAAUUUUGUAUACA
Talpa occidentalis (Iberian mole) is the source of this 742-nucleotide long non-coding RNA. RefSeq lists it as uncharacterized. The transcript is spliced from 5 exons. Lineage: Eukaryota; Metazoa; Chordata; Mammalia; Eulipotyphla; Talpidae. The record is from RefSeq and is a predicted model, not a curated record.